RNAcentral lists this non-coding RNA (30 nucleotides) under Mus musculus (house mouse). Lineage: Eukaryota; Metazoa; Chordata; Mammalia; Rodentia; Muridae. The record is from RNAcentral.
UUCUCUUAUAUGUGUGUCCACUCACUGCUA